GUGUCAGCCGCCGCGGUAAUACGUAGGGGGCAAGCGUUGUCCGGAUUUAUUGGGCGUAAAGAGCGUGUAGGCGGCCAGUCAGGUCCGUUGUGAAAACUCGAGGCUCAACCUCGAGACGCCGAUGGAAACCGACUGGCUAGAGUCCGGAAGAGGAGAGUGGAAUUCCCGGUGUAGCGGUGAAAUGCGCAGAUAUCGGGAAGAACACCCGUGGCUAAGGCGGCUCUCUAGUACGGUACUGACGCUGAGACGCGAAAGCGUGGGGAGCGAACAGGAUUAGAUACCCCAGUAGUCC
RNAcentral lists this ribosomal RNA (292 nucleotides) under uncultured bacterium. Its description in RNAcentral is "partial 16S ribosomal RNA". It matches the Rfam family "Bacterial small subunit ribosomal RNA", at positions 505 to 796 of the family's 1533-position model. The record is from RNAcentral.